GCAGUGGGUACGGGCAGACUAGAGUGCGGUAGGGGAGAUUGGAAUUCCUGGUGUAGCGGUGGAAUGCGCAGAUAUCAGGAGGAACACCGAUGGCGAAGGCAGAUCUCUGGGCCGUAACUGACGCUGAGGAGCGAAAGGGUGGGGAGCAAACAGGCUUAGAUACCCUGGUAGUCCACCCCGUAAACGUUGGGAACUAGUUGUGGGGUCCAUUCCACGGAUUCCGUGACGCAGCUAACGCAUUAAGUUCCCCGCCUGGGGAGUACGGCCGCAAGGCUAAAACUCAAAGGAAUUGACGGGGACCCGCACAAGCGGCGGAGCAUGCGGAUUAAUUCGAUGCAACGCGAAGAACCUUACCAAGGCUUGACAUAUACGAGAACGGGCCAGAAAUGGUCAACUCUUUGGACACUCGUAAACAGGUGGUGCAUGGUUGUCGUCAGCUCGUGUCGUGAGAUGUUGGGUUAAGUCCCGCAACGAGCGCAACCCUCGUUCUAUGUUGCCAGCACGUAAUGGUGGGAACUCAUGGGAUACUGCCGGGGUCAACUCGGAGGAAGGUGGGGAUGACGUCAAAUCAUCAUGCCCCUUAUGUCUUGGGCUUCACGCAUGCUACAAUGGCCGGUACAAAGGGCUGCAAUACCGCGAGGUGGAGCGAAUCCCAAAAAGCCGGUCCCAGUUCGGAUUGAGGUCUGCAACUCGACCUCAUGAAGUCGGAGUCGCUAGUAAUCGCAGAUCAGCAACGCUGCGGUGAAUACGUUCCCGGGUCUUGUACACACCGCCCGUCAAGUCAUGAAAGUCGGUAACACCUGAAGCCGGU
This 811-nucleotide ribosomal RNA is filed under the name Microbacterium sp. RNAcentral's name for it is "bacterial SSU rRNA". It matches the Rfam family "Bacterial small subunit ribosomal RNA", at positions 623 to 1431 of the family's 1533-position model. Lineage: Bacteria; Bacillati; Actinomycetota; Actinomycetes; Micrococcales; Microbacteriaceae. The record is from RNAcentral.